RNAcentral lists this ribosomal RNA (490 nucleotides) under uncultured bacterium. RNAcentral describes it as "bacterial SSU rRNA". It matches the Rfam family "Bacterial small subunit ribosomal RNA", at positions 8 to 526 of the family's 1533-position model. The record is from RNAcentral.
AGAGUUUGAUCCUGGCUCAGAACGAACGUUGGCGGCGUGGAUCAGGCAUGCAAGUCGAACGAAUCCCUGUAGCAAUACAGGGGGAAGUGGCGAAAGGGGCAGUAAGGCAUGGGUGACUUGCCCCGGACUUCGGGAUAGCCUUCCUAACGGAUGGGUAAUACCGGAUGACGUAGGAGACUACGAAAGCUCAGGCGGUCCGGGAGGGGCUCAUGUGGUAUUAGCUAGUUGGUGCGGUAACGGCGCACCAAGGCCGAGAUGCCUAGCAGGUGUGAGAGCACGACCUGCGCCACUGGCACUGUGACACUGGCCAGACUCCUACGGGAGGCUGCAGUCGAGGAUCUUCGGCAAUGGGCGAAAGCCUGACCGAGCGACGCCGCGUGUGCGAUGAAGGCCUUCGGGUUGUAAAGCACUGUCGAGGGGGAGAAAAGGCAACCUGAUCGACCCCUGGAGGAAGCUCGGGCUAAGUUCGUGCCAGCCGCCGCGGUAAUAC